RNAcentral lists this ribosomal RNA (486 nucleotides) under uncultured bacterium. Its description in RNAcentral is "partial 16S ribosomal RNA". It matches the Rfam family "Bacterial small subunit ribosomal RNA", at positions 30 to 507 of the family's 1533-position model. The record is from RNAcentral.
AUUGAACGCUGGCGGCAUGCCUUACACAUGCAAGUCGAACGGCAGCACGGGUGCUUGCACCUGGUGGCGAGUGGCGAACGGGUGAGUAAUACAUCGGAACAUGUCCUGUAGUGGGGGAUAGCCCGGCGAAAGCCGGAUUAAUACCGCAUACGAUCUACGGAUGAAAGCGGGGGACCUUCGGGCCUCGCGCUAUAGGGUUGGCCGAUGGCUGAUUAGCUAGUUGGUGGGGUAAAGGCCUACCAAGGCGACGAUCAGUAGCUGGUCUGAGAGGACGACCAGCCACACUGGGACUGAGACACGGCCCAGACUCCUACGGGAGGCAGCAGUGGGGAAUUUUGGACAAUGGGCGAAAGCCUGAUCCAGCAAUGCCGUGUGUGUGAAGAAGGCCUUCGGGUUGUAAAGCACUUUUGUCCGGAAAGAAAUCCUUGGCUCUAAUACAGUCGGGGGAUGACGGUACCGGAAGAAUAAGCACCGGCUAACUACGUG